Molecule: small RNA, 206 nt
Filed under: Mytilus galloprovincialis (Mediterranean mussel)
Lineage: Eukaryota; Metazoa; Mollusca; Bivalvia; Mytilida; Mytilidae
Source: RNAcentral
GUGGUUCUGCAGCAGCCGCUGCCGCCGCUGCAGCUGCAGCUGCAGGUGGUGGUGGAUGGGGUGGAAAUGGAGGAUCUGCAGCAGCAGCAGCCGCUGCUGCCGCCGCUUCUGCAGGAGGAGGUGGAGGUGGAGCAGCUUCAGCUGCCGCUGCCGCCGCUGCUGCUGCAAUGGCAGGAGCUGACGCAGAAGCUGUUGCAUCUGCUUAC